AUUGAACGCUGGCGGCAUGCUUUACACAUGCAAGUCGAACGGUAACAGGCCGCAAGGUGCUGACGAGUGGCGAACGGGUGAGUAAUGCAUCGGAACGUGCCCAGUCGUGGGGGAUAACUACUCGAAAGAGUAGCUAAUACCGCAUACGAUCUAUGGAUGAAAGCGGGGGACCGUAAGGCCUCGCGCGAUUGGAGCGGCCGAUGUCAGAUUAGGUAGUUGGUGGGGUAAAGGCUCACCAAGCCAACGAUCUGUAGCUGGUCUGAGAGGACAACCAGCCACACUGGGACUGAGACACGGCCCAGACUCCUACGGGAGGCAGCAGUGGGGAAUUUUGGACAAUGGGCGCAAGCCUGAUCCAGCAAUGCCGCGUGCAGGAAGAAGGCCUUCGGGUUGUAAACUGCUUUUGUACGGAACGAAAUGGCUCUGGUUAAUACCCGGGGCUAAUGACGGUACCGUAAGAAUAAGCACCGGCUAACUACGUG
This 482-nucleotide ribosomal RNA is filed under the name uncultured bacterium. RNAcentral describes it as "partial 16S ribosomal RNA". It matches the Rfam family "Bacterial small subunit ribosomal RNA", at positions 30 to 507 of the family's 1533-position model. The record is from RNAcentral.